GACGAACGCUGGCGGCGUGCUUAACACAUGCAAGUCGAACGGAAGGGCGCUACGUUUGUUUCGUUCUCGAUUGGCGAACGGGUGAGUAACACGUGAGUAACCUGCCCUUAACUUUGUGAUAACUUCAGGGAACUGGGGCGAAUACCGCGGAUAAUCUCCUGCUGCAUGUGGUGGGUUGGAAAGUUUCGGCGGUUGUGGAUGGACUCGCUGCUUAUCAGCUGGUUUGUCGGGUAGUUGCUUACCAAGGCUUUGACGGGUAGCCGGCCUGAGAGCGUGAACGGGGACCAUGCGCCUGCGAGACGCACCAGUAUGGUAUGGGCGGCAGCAGUCGGGAACCUUGCAGAACGGGGCCACGUCUGAUGUAGAGACGUUGCGUGCGGGAUGCUCGGUUAUUGGUUGUAAACAGAUUUCGAAUGUGCUGAAGCCUUCGUGACGGUACCGGGUAAAGAAGCAACGGCUAACUACGUG
Molecule: ribosomal RNA, 468 nt
Filed under: uncultured bacterium
Lineage: Bacteria
Description: partial 16S ribosomal RNA
Rfam family: Bacterial small subunit ribosomal RNA
Source: RNAcentral